UCGUUGAAACACUGGUUCUCUUAUUACCACCGAAGUUAAGCAGGAUCAGGCCCGGUCAGUGUCUAGAUGGGUGACCGCUUGAGAAUACCAGGUGCUGUAAG
Molecule: non-coding RNA, 101 nt
Organism: Acanthosepion pharaonis
Lineage: Eukaryota; Metazoa; Mollusca; Cephalopoda; Sepiida; Sepiidae
Source: the annotation of a GenBank genome assembly